RNAcentral lists this ribosomal RNA (741 nucleotides) under uncultured bacterium. RNAcentral's name for it is "bacterial SSU rRNA". It matches the Rfam family "Bacterial small subunit ribosomal RNA", at positions 8 to 796 of the family's 1533-position model. The record is from RNAcentral.
AGAGUUUGAUCCUGGCUCAGAGCGAACGCUGGCGGCAUGCUUAACACAUGCAAGUCGCACGGUCAGCAAUGGCAGUGGCGGACGGGUGAGUAACACGUAGGAAUCUAUCCUUGAAUGGGGGACAACCGUGGGAAACUACGGCUAAUACCGCAUGAUGCCUGAGGGCCAAAGACGUAAGUCGUUUGAGGAGGAGCCUGCGUCUGAUUAGCUUGUUGGUGGGGUAAAGGCCUACCAAGGCGACGAUCAGUAGCUGGUCUGAGAGGAUGAUCAGCCACAUUGGGACUGAGACACGGCCCAAACUCCUACGGGAGGCAGCAGUGGGGAAUAUUGGACAAUGGGGGCAACCCUGAUCCAGCAAUGCCGCGUGGGUGAAGAAGGUCUUCGGAUUGUAAAGCCCUUUUGGCAGGGACGAUGAUGACGGUACCUGCAGAAUAAGCCCCGGCUAACUUCGUGCCAGCAGCCGCGGUAAUACGAAGGGGGCUAGCGUUGCUCGGAAUGACUGGGCGUAAAGGGCGCGUAGGCGGCACACACAGUCAGAUGUGAAAUUCCUGGGCUCAACCUGGGGACUGCAUUUGAUACGUGUGAGCUAGAGUGGAGAAGAGGGUCGUGGAAUUUCCAGUGUAGAGGUGAAAUUCGUAGAUAUUGGAAAGAACACCGGUGGCGAAGGCGGCGACCUGGCUUUAACUGACGCUGAGGCGCGAAAGCGUGGGGAGCAAACAGGAUUAGAUACCCUAGUAGUCC